Molecule: small RNA, 127 nt
Filed under: Marmota monax (woodchuck)
Lineage: Eukaryota; Metazoa; Chordata; Mammalia; Rodentia; Sciuridae
Source: RNAcentral
GCUGGGUGUGGUGAUGCACACUUAUAAUCCCAGCAGCUCAGGAGGCUGAGGCAGGAAGAUUUUGAGUUCAAAUCCAGCCUCAACAAUUUAGUGAGGUACUGAGCAACUCAGCAAGACCCUGUCUCUA